This 511-nucleotide ribosomal RNA is filed under the name uncultured bacterium. RNAcentral's name for it is "bacterial SSU rRNA". It matches the Rfam family "Bacterial small subunit ribosomal RNA", at positions 15 to 518 of the family's 1533-position model. The record is from RNAcentral.
GAUCCUGGCUCAGGAUGAACGCUAGCUACAGGCUUAACACAUGCAAGUCGAGGGGCAGCAUGAGAUUAGCUUGCUAAUCUUGAUGGCGACCGGCGCACGGGUGAGUAACGCGUAUCCAACCUUCCCCCUACUCAGGCAUAGCCCGGUGAAAACCGGAUUAACUCCUGAUAGUUUCACUAGAUGGCAUCUGACGGUGAAUAAAGCUCAGCGGUAAGGGAUGGGGAUGCGUCUGAUUAGCUUGUUGGCGGGUAACGGCCACCAAGGCGACGAUCAGUAGGGUUCUGAGAGGAAGGUCCCCCACAUUGGAACUGAGACACGGUCCAAACUCCUACGGGAGGCAGCAGUGAGGAAUAUUGGUCAAUGGGCGCGAGCCUGAACCAGCCAAGUAGCGUGCCAGGAUGACGGCCCUAUGGGUUGUAAACUGCUUUUGUAUGGGAAUAAAGUCAGGGACGUGUCCCUGUUUGCAUGUACCAUAAGAAUAAGGACCGGCUAAUUCCGUGCCAGCCGCUGC